AAACUUGAAUGUCGGUUGGGUAUCCUAUACGGGCUUUCCAGCAAGAUGAUAAUCAAGUUUAUUUAUAGGAGAUAUGUUAGUGGCCCGUAUCGCAGGCAUUAACGUUCCUGAU
Molecule: non-coding RNA, 112 nt
Organism: Pseudoalteromonas piscicida
Lineage: Bacteria; Pseudomonadati; Pseudomonadota; Gammaproteobacteria; Alteromonadales; Pseudoalteromonadaceae
Source: Rfam